This 253-nucleotide ribosomal RNA is filed under the name uncultured bacterium. RNAcentral's name for it is "partial 16S ribosomal RNA". It matches the Rfam family "Bacterial small subunit ribosomal RNA", at positions 524 to 776 of the family's 1533-position model. The record is from RNAcentral.
UACCUAGGUGACAAGCGUUGUCCGGAUUUACUGGGCGUAAAGAGCGCGCAGGCGGUCGUUCAAGUCGAGUGUGAAAGCCCCCGGCUCAACUGGGGAGGGUCAUUCGAUACUGAUCGACUCGAAGGCAGGAGAGGGUAGUGGAAUUCCCGGUGUAGUGGUGAAAUGCGUAGAUAUCGGGAGGAACACCAGUGGCGAAGGCGGCUCACUGGCCCGGUACUGACGCUGAGAUACGAAAGCGUGGGGAGCAAACAGG